RNAcentral lists this small nuclear RNA (114 nucleotides) under Carlito syrichta (Philippine tarsier). RNAcentral's name for it is "U5 spliceosomal RNA (ENSTSYG00000031619.1)". It matches the Rfam family "U5 spliceosomal RNA". Rfam says of the family: U5 RNA is a component of both types of known spliceosome. The precise function of this molecule is unknown, though it is known that the 5' loop is required for splice site selection and p220 binding, and that both the 3' stem-loop and the Sm site are important for Sm protein binding and cap methylation. Lineage: Eukaryota; Metazoa; Chordata; Mammalia; Primates; Tarsiidae. The record is from Rfam by way of RNAcentral.
AUACUCUGGUUUCUCUUCACAUCACAUACAUCUCUGACCUUUUACUAAAGAUUUUCAUGGAGGGGAACAACUCUGAGUUUGUAACUAAUGUUUGAGGCCUUCCUUUGGCAGGGC